GGUGAACCUGCGGAAGGGAUCAUUAACACGUAUCCAACGUUAAACAACCCUGUGAACUUCUAUUCUUGCAGCCCAUGAGGAACAGCAAUCCCGGUAAAUCAUUGCCUAGGCGGCAUUUUCUAGUGGAGUGAUUAAGGGGCGCGGUGGCCCUGUGACAUGUCUGCCGGUCGGUGAUCGACCUCUGGCAACCGUGAGGCGUUAUCCUUACAUAGUCAGUGACACUGUCAUUCACUAACUGCUUGGGGAAGCCAUGCCAGUGCAUCUACCACUCAUUGCAAGGGUUUCGAAUUAAAAAUGUUUGUGGUAACGCGCUAGGUAAAAAAAACCGAACAACUGUUAACAAUGGAUAUCUUGGUUCUC
This 360-nucleotide unclassified non-coding RNA is filed under the name fungal sp. Its description in RNAcentral is "partial internal transcribed spacer region". Lineage: Eukaryota; Fungi. The record is from RNAcentral.